GAUGAACGCUGGCGGCGUGCCUAAUACAUGCAAGUCGAGCGAACGGACGAGAAGCUUGCUUCUCUGAUGUUAGCGGCGGACGGGUGAGUAACACGUGGAUAACCUACCUAUAAGACUGGGAUAACUUCGGGAAACCGGAGCUAAUACCGGAUGAUAUUUUGAACCGCAUGGUUCAAAAGUGAAAGACGGUCUUGCUGUCACUUAUAGAUUGAUCCGCGCUGCAUUAGCUAGUUGGUAAGGUAACGGCUUACCAAGGCAACGAUGCAUAGCCGACAUGAGAGGGUGAUCGGCCACACUGGAACUGAGACACGGUCCAGACUACUACGGGAGGCAGCAGUAGGGAAUCUUCCGCAAUGGGCGAAAGCCUGACGGAGCAACGCCGCGUGAGUGAUGAAGGUCUUCGGAUCGUAAAACUCUGUUAUUAGGGAAGAACAUAUGUGUAAGUAACUGUGCACAUCUUGACGGUACCUAAUCAGAAAGCCACGGCUAACUACGUG
This 497-nucleotide ribosomal RNA is filed under the name uncultured bacterium. RNAcentral's name for it is "partial 16S ribosomal RNA". It matches the Rfam family "Bacterial small subunit ribosomal RNA", at positions 28 to 507 of the family's 1533-position model. The record is from RNAcentral.